ACACACAGAGCUCCUGUACACACACAGCGCAGCUGAACAGCACACAGGUCCGGCUCCUGCAGAGCUACUGUACACACACAGCGCAGCUGAACAGCACACGGGUCCCGGCUCCUGCAGACAUGGCUUCCUUUCUGUCCGGCUUAAUGGGAGGCAAGGCUGACGAGCUUGUCGACAAGGGAGUCGACGCAGCAGCAACUCUAGCCAAGCAGAAGGUAAAGAGUCUCAUUGGAGGAGAGUCAAACCCAGAGGACGGCAACGCAGGAGGUGGAGGUGGAGGCAUCUUGUCCCCAGGGUCCAAAGAGGGAGGAGGAGGAGGAGGAGAUGGAGGAAUAGGAGGUCUUUUCUCAUCGGGAGGCAAAGCAGCAGAGAAUGAGAGCAGCGGAGGAGCAGGAGGGGGAGAUUCAGGAGAUUUCACGGACGCACUGGCGGGCGUGGCGAACGAAAUGUCCGGGAACGACGACCCCAUGAACCAACUGAAGUCCAUAGGGAAGGGCUUGUUUGGCUGAACCCUCCCCGAAACAUCCUGCCCUGCCCCGACCUGCCCCGCUCUGCCCCACCCUGCCCCGCCCAGCCCGAGAGCUGCACCUGUCUUGGGGGAUUCCUCACUGCCCUGGCUCUGAGCGGAGGGGGACGACUAUUUGGGGGAGAACCUGGGCAGGUGCCCUCCACAACCACUCCAUCCAUCUGUCCCACAAUCCUGUGCAACUGUGAUCUGAAAUCUAUGUAUAUUCAAAGUUGUAUUUGCCUAGGAGGCAACAGAAAAUAAAUGUAUAUUGGAAUUUAAA
Molecule: long non-coding RNA, 785 nt
Organism: Anguilla rostrata (American eel)
Lineage: Eukaryota; Metazoa; Chordata; Actinopteri; Anguilliformes; Anguillidae
Exons: 3
Source: RefSeq, a predicted model, not a curated record